This 354-nucleotide unclassified non-coding RNA is filed under the name soil metagenome. Its description in RNAcentral is "partial contains 5.8S ribosomal RNA, internal transcribed spacer 2, and large subunit ribosomal RNA". The stretch from base 1 to 120 matches the Rfam family "5.8S ribosomal RNA", at positions 35 to 154 of the family's 154-position model. The record is from RNAcentral.
GAUGAAGAACGCAGCGAAAUGCGAUAAGUAAUGUGAAUUGCAGAAUUCCGUGAAUCAUCGAAUCUUUGAACGCACAUUGCGCCCCCUGGCAUUCCGGGGGGCAUGCCUGUCCGAGCGUCAUUUCUGCCCUCCAGCCCGGCUGGGUGUUGGGCGCUGUCCCCCCGGGGACACGCCCCAAAGGCAGUGGCGGCGCCGCGUCGGGUCCUCGAGCGUAUGGGGCUUUGUCACCCGCUCGGGACGGACUCGUCGGCGCUGGUCUUCCUCCAGGCGACCCUUCGGGGCUCGUCUUCCUUCGGUUGACCUCGGAUCAGGUAGGGUUACCCGAUGAACUUAAGCAUAUCAAUAAGCGGAGGA